AGAAUAUAAUAACCCGUCUCUUAACUUUUAACUAAAAAAGCUAAGAACCGACUCUUAAAUAAGAAUUUUAAGAACCGGUUCUUAACUUUUUUAGUUAAAAGUUAAAAGACGGGUUCUUAUAUUCC
Molecule: microRNA precursor, 125 nt
Filed under: Brassica carinata (Ethiopian mustard)
Lineage: Eukaryota; Viridiplantae; Streptophyta; Magnoliopsida; Brassicales; Brassicaceae
Also listed under: 1 other name
Description: MIR9563 microRNA precursor family
Rfam family: MIR9563 microRNA precursor family
Source: Rfam by way of RNAcentral